ACAACCUGCCGGAUUCUAUCUGUAUAACGCUAGUAUGAAAGUACCUUCACAUAUUAGGAAUCAUCGACUGGUUACCAAUACAAAAAAUGUCCUAAAUUUGGCAAAUAGGCCAUGCUGGUGAUUCUGCAGUCAUAAGGCAAGGGAGAUUGAACUGAAAAGUAGGAGGCCAUGAUGUGCCUCCUUUCAAGCUUGUCCACAGAUUUAUCGGAUUAAUAAUGCAGGCUAUGGUAUGGUAUUUGGCAUAAAUGGUGCCAAGAUGAUUUCCCUCCCCAGCUGGUUGUAUGGUGCCUGUUGAGCUUUAAUGGGAUUGGGUAGCUUAGAAAAUCCUAUGUCAUACACUCUAUUAGAGAAUCAUGAGUUAAAGGGGUACUCCUCCCUCAUGAGGAUUUUUUUUUUUUUUAACCUUCUUCUGGAUCAACUUUGCUGGUUAACAGGCUGAACUAGAUGGACGUAUGUAUUUUUUCAGGCUUUCCGACUCCCGCCACCCCCACGAUCAGCCCGGACAAGCGCUGCAGAGUAUUCCAAGCACAGCGCCGUACAUUAUAUAGUGGCUGUGCUUGGUAUUGAAGCUCAGUCUCAUUCACUUGAAUGGGACUGAGCUGCACAAAGGCUAUGCGACAGAGGAACCGGAUGUUACAGGUUGAGAAGGAGGCUGCAGGCCCCUUUAAACAGCUGAUCGGCAGGGGUGCUGGAAGUCAGACCCCCACCGAUGACUUCUACUGUGAAGUCAUCAGUACUAAGCCUGUCCUUUAACAAACUCCGCCACAAUAUGAUCAAGGCCACUGAUCACAGUAGAAGAGUGCCAUCUAGUGGGCAUAACUGUGUGAUAUCCUGGAUUGUCUGCAUUGAUCCGUGAAGGCAUUUAUUAUGUGCACAGUAGACCAACUUCUGCAUUAUGUCACAUCUGGGAGACAAACAGUACGCCACAUUUACAGCUUCAGUGCUGCUAAAAAACAACUGCCUGCAAUUUAAAGGAUGACGCAGGUAAGGUCUAUGAGCCGAGCACAAUGGCGACUAUUCCGCAUGCUGCGAUACGGUGUCUGCAACGCCCGCCCACAGCCUACAACACGGAUGUCUACAAAGUUUACAAAUACAAAAGGUUGAGAAAGCUUGUAAAAAUGGUGACUUGUCUUGGUACUGAUGCCAAAUUACAACCCAUUUGGUAGCCCAGA
Molecule: long non-coding RNA, 1172 nt
Organism: Bufo bufo (common toad)
Lineage: Eukaryota; Metazoa; Chordata; Amphibia; Anura; Bufonidae
Exons: 3
Source: RefSeq, a predicted model, not a curated record